CGCAAUGGACGAAAGUCUGACGGAGCAACGCCGCGUGAGUGAUGAAGGCUUUCGGGUCGUAAAACUCUGUUGUUAGGGAAGAACAAGUACAAGAGUAACUGCUUGUACCUUGACGGUACCUAACCAGAAAGCCACGGCUAACUACGUGCCAGCAG
Molecule: ribosomal RNA, 155 nt
Filed under: uncultured Bacillota bacterium
Lineage: Bacteria; Bacillati; Bacillota
Description: uncultured Firmicutes bacterium partial 16S ribosomal RNA
Rfam family: Bacterial small subunit ribosomal RNA
Source: RNAcentral